AUGUACAUUCUUACAUCAUAACGUUAAUGCAUUGGAUCCCAUUAGAACUCUGCAAUUAAGUUUGCUUGGGAUAGAGUAGUACUGUGAUGGGUGACUUCCCGGAAAGUCCUUGUGUUUUACAUG
Molecule: non-coding RNA, 123 nt
Organism: Picea glauca (white spruce)
Lineage: Eukaryota; Viridiplantae; Streptophyta; Pinopsida; Pinales; Pinaceae
Source: Rfam